Molecule: long non-coding RNA, 1459 nt
Organism: Neopsephotus bourkii (Bourke's parrot)
Lineage: Eukaryota; Metazoa; Chordata; Aves; Psittaciformes; Psittacidae
Exons: 3
Source: RefSeq, a predicted model, not a curated record
CAAACGCUCUCGAAAGUGCACAGAUUUGGUAAAGGGAAGAGGAUUUCCACACUUCUGAAGAGUUCCCCAGCUUGUGCCCUGUGCAUGCCAGAGGAGCUCAGAGUGGCAGGCUCCAUGGACAUGACUGAAGAUGCUUUAGCAUUGUGGAGAUGAAGUCAAAUGUCAUAUUCUCAGUCCCAUGAAAUACUGGCAGCAUGUAUCCACCCCUGUGCUUCAGCAGAUGGAAGAGAAGAGGAGGUCAGUUGAAGAGUCAUUGUUGAAGUCUGAAAUUUAAGAAGAAGAAAACCCCCAAAAAUGUCAAAGCUUGCACUUCACAAAGAGUUUGCUCUGCAAAGUUUUCCAUUGGAACAAGCCUGACUUCUACAGGAGGCAAGUUUUUUUCUUGUUCCAUACCCAUUAGUCUGCCCUCAGUUUACAGGACAUGAGAGACUUUAGGGCAUGUUUAACCACUUGCAGUGACUCAGAUGAUAUGCAACUCUUUCACUAAAGCAGAAAACAAGACCCAGGAGAGGCCAGAAGACUUUGAGGAUGCAGCAUUUCCACUGAUGUGCCCUUAUUUAAAAUCAGAAUGUCUGCUCUUUUAAUCAGGAAACUUACUCUUUGUGCAACAGAAAAUGGACUUUUCUAAACUCAUUCCUAUAGGAAUGUUUUGCCUCAUUUAAUACAAUCUGAAAAGCAGCCUUAGCAAAAGUUAGCUUGCAAAAAGGCACCAGAAUGUGUCAUUUCUUCAUAGUCAUGGACCAUCUGAGGAUGGAACAGGAUCCCUGUUAACAUUUACCUACCCAGAGCAGUUUAAAAAUCAGUUGAAUUCAACUAGUGUUAAAGAUCACCACGACAUUCUCGGUUUGUUCUAUAAAUUAUUCAAUUUUGGAUUGAGCUGAUUUUGGAAUGAAUUCAUGAAGUAAAUUCAACGAAGAGAGGAAGAAAUAAAAAAGGCAGAAAACAACAACAAAAGAAACCAGAACCUCUGGCAGGGGCUUAGCUGAAAGCUUAGAUCUUGGCUGAAACCCAUUAGCAAACAAGAUGCACACAGACAUGGAAGUUAUCCUUACAUCUAACAUUAAAAUGCUGCUGCACUUGCUCCAUGUUCUGAGGAGGUUUGCUUGUAUUUGGGGGAAAAAUGCCUUCGGGUAUCUGCUGCAGCAACAUGAUGUAAGUGAAAAACAACUUGAAAUUCCUACUCCUUACACUGUGAGAAAGCUUUUCCUACUAUAAUAAUAGCUAGCUACUUACUAGACUAACAGAAACCUCAGAACUGGAUGUUCCAUCUACCAGAAAAGAGGCAUUUAUGACUAUAACCAACACAAAACCCACAGAACACACAAGACCAGACAUGAGUAAAUAAAGACUCGGAGUUUUGCACUUACACAGUGGAAAAUACAGAACUGACCCACCCUUAGUGACCUACCCUUGGCUUGAGCGGAAACCAGUUGAUCUGCUUGUUGGAUUUCUCAUUCCA